UUUCAAAGGAUACGUGACUAUCCUAGAAGCCUGAGUCCAGGCUGGUAUUUGGGUUUUGUGCUUCCUCCACCACCCCAGUUGUCCUGUGGAUGGUCACAUGAGUCCUGCUUCAGUGGCCCAUGGGGACAACAAAGUGAAUUUCUGGAUUCUUCUCCGAUCCCUCAGAGAGCACAUGACCCACCACCCCAUGUCUGACCUUCAGGGCACUCUGAAGAACUAGGCCCUGGAUUCCUACCAUGCAGAGAUCACCCAGACCUGGCAGCAGGAUGGGGAGGACCAGACUCAGGACAUGGAACCUGUGGAGACCAGGCCUGCAGGGGAUGGAACCUUCCAGAAGUUUGUCAGGUAAAGAAGGAGCCCUUCUUGAGACACUCAGCAGGGUCUGGGCUGAGAGCUGGGGGGGGGGGUCAGGGGUCCUCAUCUUCCCCUCCACCCCAGAGCCUCCUCCUCAGCCUACUAUCCCGAUCAUGGUGAUUGUCGUGGACAUGGUUUUCUUGGAGCUGUGGUGGUGGCUUUUGUGAACAGGAGGAAUGAAGGUAAAGAAGGUAGAAGGUCUGAGUUCUUGUCCUACCAGGGAUUUCAAGCUGUAGCUAGAAGUAUGUCUUGCCACAUCAAUGGGCAGGUGCUUACCCAGCCUGGUCUAUUUGAUGACACCUACUCUUUUAUAAAUCACAUAGAAAAUUUAGCCUACUGAUAGUAGUGAUGGGGACUUGAUUCCCAGCAGGUAGAGGUCAGAGAGGGAAGGUCCCUGUUGAGGACAUGCCUCCAGGAGGGCAGUAGAUCCUCUUCCUGCACAUCUUCCUUUCUUGUGACUCCUAAUCCUUUCCUGGGUCUGCAGGAACAGUCCUGGAAACUUCCCUUGGCCUCAGGACUAGGAGGUUUCUCUAGGUCCUCAUGGCUCUACCUUUCUGGCCUCUCACAAGAGGACAAAGAGACAGCUACUCAGUCUGUAAGUAAGUAUGGUGGUGGCAGCAGCACUGAGACCCUCGUGGCAGUGUAGACAGGAAUGCAUGGUUGAACUCACCUACCCAUAAUUCCUCCUUUAGCCACAUCUCCUGUGGGCUCUGGCCAGGUCCUGUUUUUUUCUUCCCUAGACAGUGACAGUGCCCAGGGUACCAAUGAGUCUCUCACAGCAUGAAAAGGUGAGAUCCUGAGGGCCUGAAGUAGGACAUUGGGUGGGAAAGAGGGCAGACACCUGGGUUAUGGGACUGUGGUUUGGGAUAUUUUGAGUGUGUGGUAGGCUAGCUACUCAGAGUGUCUCCCCCUUAUAGUACCUGCUUGAAUUUGUCAUGAUCAUUUCUCCUACAGUGUGAGACAGCUGCCUUGUGAGGACUGAGCCACACAAGGUCUGUUCAGGUCUCUUCUCCCCACCCUCCUCUGUCUUCAAGAGCUCCUGAUUUCUCUGUCUGCAAUUGGCCUCUGACUCUGUCCAUGUGU
RNAcentral lists this long non-coding RNA (1437 nucleotides) under Castor canadensis (American beaver). RNAcentral describes it as "lncRNA (ENSCCNG00000026862.1)". The record is from RNAcentral. Lineage: Eukaryota; Metazoa; Chordata; Mammalia; Rodentia; Castoridae.